This 253-nucleotide ribosomal RNA is filed under the name uncultured bacterium. Its description in RNAcentral is "partial 16S ribosomal RNA". It matches the Rfam family "Bacterial small subunit ribosomal RNA", at positions 524 to 776 of the family's 1533-position model. The record is from RNAcentral.
UACGAAGGGGGCUAGCGUUGCUCGGAAUCACUGGGCGUAAAGGGUGCGUAGGCGGGUUUUUAAGUCAGGGGUGAAAUCCUGGAGCUCAACUCCAGAACUGCCUUUGAUACUGAAGAUCUUGAGUUCGGGAGAGGUGAGUGGAACUGCGAGUGUAGAGGUGAAAUUCGUAGAUAUUCGCAAGAACACCAGUGGCGAAGGCGGCUCACUGGCCGGCUAGUGACGCUGAGGUGCGAAAGCUAGGGGAGCAAACAGG